UUUCGAUACUGGCAAACCCAAUGAAAAUUGGGGACGCAAAACUACAGGUCUAAGGUAUUCAAUACUAUGACGGCUGAGUUGCCGAA
Molecule: non-coding RNA, 86 nt
Filed under: Acetivibrio clariflavus
Lineage: Bacteria; Bacillati; Bacillota; Clostridia; Acetivibrionales; Acetivibrionaceae
Also listed under: 1 other name
Description: Clostridium clariflavum c-di-GMP sequence
Rfam family: c-di-GMP-I riboswitch aptamer
About the family: GEMM was predicted in a large-scale screen for bacterial structured RNA regulatory elements. Genes associated with GEMM are involved in a diverse array of functions, including chemotaxis regulation, signal transduction, secretion and chitin.
Source: RNAcentral